UGGGGAAUCUUAGACAAUGGGGGCAACCCUGAUCUAGCCAUGCCGCGUGAGUGAUGAAGGCCUUAGGGUUGUAAAGCUCUUUCAGCUGGGAAGAUAAUGACGUACCAGCAGAGAGCC
RNAcentral lists this ribosomal RNA (117 nucleotides) under uncultured bacterium. RNAcentral describes it as "partial 16S ribosomal RNA". It matches the Rfam family "Bacterial small subunit ribosomal RNA", at positions 355 to 492 of the family's 1533-position model. The record is from RNAcentral.